This 245-nucleotide long non-coding RNA is filed under the name Gallus gallus (chicken). Lineage: Eukaryota; Metazoa; Chordata; Aves; Galliformes; Phasianidae. The record is from RNAcentral.
CUGGUUUGUUACACAUUCAUCGUGCUCUGUACAUGAAUAGUCAUCAAUGCGUAUAUAUCCUGUUUUGCAGAUGCACAUGAAGGAUCCUGGUGUAUUUACACACAUGGUGUUCUCCCGACAGUAGUGCUGCCCCUCGGCACACUCAUCAACAUCUUCACAGUAGGCAUUGUCCUCCCGAAGGGCCCGGAAGCCAUCUCGGCAGCUACAGACAGCUCUGUCAUCUAGGUUUCGGCAGACAGAAUGCU